CCAUGGGGCAGAUUUGGGUCCCAUGGGGCAGGAGUGGGUGCCGUGGGUCAGGUGUGGGUGACAUGGGGCAGGUGUGGGUCCCAUGGGGCAGGUGAGGGUCCCAUGGGGCAGAUUUGGGUCCCAUGGGGCAGGUGUGGGUGCUGUGGGUCAGGUGUGGGUGCUGUGGGGCAGGUGAGGGUCCCGUGGGGCAGGUGAGGUUCCCAUGGGUGCUGUGGGGCAGGUGUGGGUGCCAUGGGGCAAAUUUGGAUCUCAUGGGACAGGUGAGGGUCCCGUGGGUCCCGUGGGGCAGAUUUGGGUCCUGUGGGGCAGAUUUGGGUCCCAUGGGACAGGUGUGGGUCCCAUGGGGCAGGUGAGGGUCCCGUGGGGCAGGCGAGGGUCCCAUGGGGCAGAUUUGGGUUCUGUGGGGCGGGUGUAGGUCCUGUGGGUGCUGUGGGGCAGAUUUGGGUCCCAUGGGGCAGAUUUGGGUCCCGUGGGGCAGGUGAGGGUCCUGUGGGUUCCGUGGGGCAGAUUUGGGUUCCGUGGGGCAGGUGAGAGUCCUGUGGGUGCCGUGGGUGCCGUGGGUGGGGCACAUUCCCACGCAGGUGUGACAGCACUGGGUGUGGUCCCACGUGGGCGUGGCCAGGUGACCCCCACCCCUGUCCCCUCCCCCACC
Neopelma chrysocephalum (saffron-crested tyrant-manakin) is the source of this 652-nucleotide long non-coding RNA. RefSeq lists it as uncharacterized. The transcript has 4 exons. NCBI's taxonomy places the organism in Eukaryota, Metazoa, Chordata, Aves, Passeriformes, Pipridae. The record is from RefSeq and is a predicted model, not a curated record.